AUAAACAGUCUUGCAUGAGUACACUUCCAUUCACAAAAAUGUCAAUCGCCUUGCAGACAAUAUAGCUGGCGGAUAUUACCCGAAGCUGAGGACAUGAACCAAAAGGAAUUCCAAAAGAAGAGGUUCAGAAUUGCAGACAUGAACAAGAAGCUGGUAACUAAGGAACCAUUCCAGGUACUAAGCUUAAGUGGUUGCAUACUGUGCAGUUAUGCAAAUUUUAUUUCAUUGAUGCAGACAGGUAGGAAGAUGUUACUUCCCAGGAGAAAAAGAAGUCUCCUCAUGCUGAGCAGCAUCAGCAUUUCUGUAGUUAACAUCAAACUGUGAAACCAACAUGGUUUCUAGAGGUAAACCAAUUAAUGUAGUUUCCACUGAAAAUGCUAGACACAACUGAAUGUACUGAUGAGAAAUUACCGUAUAACCAGUCCUUGAACUGUGCAUGAAGGGCGCUCAUCAAUUCCCUUCUCCGAUUGUCAUCAAGCUGCAGAUCCCGGAUAGUCUUUUGAAUAUCUUCCAGAGCAGAAUGCUGAAAGUGAAUAUGGCAUAUUCAGGAACAUGUGCUUUUAGGAACAAAGCAUGCUAAAACCUUUAUGAGAAGCCAUUAGAACAUAUACUUAAGAGACAAAGAGAUUAUGAUAUAGUCUAGCUCCAUUGCAUUUAGUCACUUAGUGUACCUUUUUGCUUUGGGAUGCCCCAUAAAUUUCAGGUAAUGGAAAAGGGUUGCAAUUUGUAGGCUCUUGCACUUCAGCCCCAAACCAACUAGGAAUC
Molecule: long non-coding RNA, 765 nt
Organism: Phragmites australis (common reed)
Lineage: Eukaryota; Viridiplantae; Streptophyta; Magnoliopsida; Poales; Poaceae
Exons: 2
Source: RefSeq, a predicted model, not a curated record